AAACCAUGUUUUAUAAAAUGUUUUUAAUAUAUUUUAUGUUUUUAAGCAAAAAGGAAAUUGAGUUUUGAAUGAAAUAGACCAAGGAGGCGUUGCCAGGUUCGGCCGCCGAAAGUUAGGUUCGGCCGCCGAACAUGGUGGGGUUUUGGGAGCGCCUUAGGCCUCCGAAAGCCUUGUUUGAAAGACUCAAGGUUCGGCCGCCGAACCUCAUGUUCGGCCGCCGAACAUGCAUGAGAUGUGGGGGCACGUUAGGCCGCCGAAAGGUGGCAGAACCAGCCCUAUAAGAGACCCCGUGACCGAAACAGGCGAGGUUUUCUCUCCCAUUUCGGCCGACGGUAAGCCUUAGCCCUCCUAUGGUCAUUUUAAGUAUUUCCCCUCAAAUCCUUUAGAUCUUAACAAGUUACAUCUUGUUUUUGAAGAGUUUUAAAGUUCAAGCAAGUUUUGGAGCUUUGAGGUUCAAGAACUCGAAUCUCCCCAUUUUCGAGCUAGGAUCGUUUCUCUCUCG
RNAcentral lists this long non-coding RNA (502 nucleotides) under Manihot esculenta (cassava). RNAcentral's name for it is "long non-coding RNA (MESC_LNC009483)". The record is from RNAcentral. Lineage: Eukaryota; Viridiplantae; Streptophyta; Magnoliopsida; Malpighiales; Euphorbiaceae.